This is a long non-coding RNA of Hyla sarda, 404 nucleotides long. RefSeq lists it as uncharacterized. The transcript has 3 exons. Lineage: Eukaryota; Metazoa; Chordata; Amphibia; Anura; Hylidae. The record is from RefSeq and is a predicted model, not a curated record.
CCGGCAUGUCUCACAUGGUGAGCACAGAGCAGCUGACAUUAACAGUCUGCUCCCCGCCACUGCGGGUUUGUGCCCCAUCCGAGACUCCAUACCGGUGAUGCGACGGACAACAGUGACGGGCAUGUAAAUCGGGACUGUCCGGACUAUCACCACUAGUUGGCAUAUCUGUCGCAUCUUUACGUACAUCUGUUUUAAGUGAGCACUAUGAACUAGUGCCACUUUGAGUACAAAUAGUGAGCACUGAGUAUCGGGUGCCACUUUGUUAAUCUAUGAUACUUCAAUAUCUGAGUUAUCUACAUGCACAAGUUGUAUUUAUCCCCUGAUGACGUUCAAUAUUAGAGCAGAAACGCGUAGGGGUUUUGCAUUAAUUGCUGUGGUUUGUAAUAAAUUCACUCACUAGUGGU